UCCUACGGGUGGCAGCAGUGGGGAAUAUUGGACAAUGGGCGAAAGCCUGAUCCAGCCAUGCCGCGUGAGUGAUGAAGGCCCUAGGGUUGUAAAGCUCUUUUAACGGGGAAGAUAAUGACGGUACCCGUAGAAUAAGCCCCGGCUAACUUCGUGCCAGCAGCCGCGGUAAUACGAAGGGGGCUAGCGUUGCUCGGAAUCACUGGGCGUAAAGCGCACGUAGGCGGACUCUUAAGUCGGUGGUGAAAUCCUGGAGCUCAACUCCAGAACUGCCUUCGAUACUGGGAGUCUCGAGUUCGGGAGAGGUGAGUGGAACUGCGAGUGUAGAGGUGAAAUUCGUAGAUAUUCGCAAGAACACCAGUGGCGAAGGCGGCUCACUGGCCCGAUACUGACGCUGAGGUGCGAAAGCGUGGGGAGCAAACAGGAUUAGAUACCCCAGUAGUCA
This 442-nucleotide ribosomal RNA is filed under the name uncultured Rhodoplanes sp. Its description in RNAcentral is "bacterial SSU rRNA". It matches the Rfam family "Bacterial small subunit ribosomal RNA", at positions 337 to 796 of the family's 1533-position model. Lineage: Bacteria; Pseudomonadati; Pseudomonadota; Alphaproteobacteria; Hyphomicrobiales; Nitrobacteraceae. The record is from RNAcentral.